Molecule: ribosomal RNA, 560 nt
Filed under: Vibrio sp. NHV810-10
Lineage: Bacteria; Pseudomonadati; Pseudomonadota; Gammaproteobacteria; Vibrionales; Vibrionaceae
Description: bacterial SSU rRNA
Rfam family: Bacterial small subunit ribosomal RNA
Source: RNAcentral
AGUAAUGCAUAGGAAUCUGCCCGGUAGUGGGGGAUAACCUGGGGAAACCCAGGCUAAUACCGCAUACGUCCUACGGGAGAAAGCAGGGGCUCUUCGGACCUUGCGCUAUCGGAUGAGCCUAUGUCGGAUUAGCUGGUUGGUGAGGUAAUGGCUCACCAAGGCGACGAUCCGUAGCUGGUCUGAGAGGAUGAUCAGCCACAUCGGGACUGAGACACGGCCCGAACUCCUACGGGAGGCAGCAGUGGGGAAUAUUGGACAAUGGGCGCAAGCCUGAUCCAGCCAUGCCGCGUGUGUGAAGAAGGCCCUCGGGUUGUAAAGCACUUUCAGUGGGGAAGAAAGCCUUCCGGUUAAUACCCGGGAGGAAGGACAUCACCCACAGAAGAAGCACCGGCUAACUCCGUGCCAGCAGCCGCGGUAAUACGGAGGGUGCGAGCGUUAAUCGGAAUUACUGGGCGUAAAGCGCGCGUAGGUGGCUUGAUAAGCCGGUUGUGAAAGCCCCGGGCUCAACCUGGGAACGGCAUCCGGAACUGUCAGGCUAGAGUGCAGGAGAGGAAGGUAGA